This 770-nucleotide ribosomal RNA is filed under the name uncultured Leptotrichia sp. Its description in RNAcentral is "bacterial SSU rRNA". It matches the Rfam family "Bacterial small subunit ribosomal RNA", at positions 69 to 857 of the family's 1533-position model. Lineage: Bacteria; Fusobacteriati; Fusobacteriota; Fusobacteriia; Fusobacteriales; Leptotrichiaceae. The record is from RNAcentral.
GGAAGUGGUGCUUGCACCAUGGUAACCAUGGCGGACGGGUGAGUAACGCGUAAGGAACUUGCCUGCGGGACUGGGAUAACAGCAGGAAACUGCUGAUAAUACCGGAUAAGGUCAUUAAGCUGCAUAGCUUAGUGAUGAAAGGAGACGCCUGCGGAGAGCCUUGCGUCCUAUUAGCUAGUUGGAGGGGUAACGGCCCACCAAGGCGAAGAUAGGUAGCCGGCCUGAGAGGGUGGACGGCCACAAGGGGACUGAGAUACGGCCCUUACUCCUACGGGAGGCAGCAGUGGGGAAUAUUGGACAAUGGGGGCAACCCUGAUCCAGCAAUUCUGUGUGCACGAAGACGGUUUUCGGAUUGUAAAGUGCUUUCAGCAGGGAAGAAGUAAGUGACGGUACCUGCAGAAGAAGCGACGGCUAAAUACGUGCCAGCAGCCGCGGUAAUACGUAUGUCGCGAGCGUUAUCCGGAAUUAUUGGGCAUAAAGGGCAUCUAGGCGGCCUUUCAAGCCAGGGGUGAAAACCUGCGGCUCAACCGCAGGCCUGCCUUUGAAACUGAUAGGCUGGAGUACCGGAGAGGUGGACGGAACUGCACGAGUAGAGGUGAAAUUCGUAGAUAUGUGCAGGAAUGCCGAUGAUGAAGAUAGUUCACUGGACGGUAACUGACGCUGAAGUGCGAAAGCCGGGGGAGCGAACAGGAUUAGAUACCCUGGUAGUCCCGGCCGUAAACGAUGAUUACUGGGUGUGGGCAGGAAGACUGUCUGUGCCGAAGCGAAUG